Mirounga angustirostris (Northern elephant seal) is the source of this 6000-nucleotide long non-coding RNA. RefSeq lists it as uncharacterized. The transcript has 3 exons. NCBI's taxonomy places the organism in Eukaryota, Metazoa, Chordata, Mammalia, Carnivora, Phocidae. The record is from RefSeq and is a predicted model, not a curated record.
UCCAGUCACCUUGGGAGUCUUCCGGACCCGCGCCAGUUGUGUCGCACGAGGACUCAAGAGAGCAAGCGAGGGAAUUAGGAAGGGGCGUCUCCUCUCCUCCCGGCGGCUUCCCGCGCGGCGCGCUGUGAUGACGUAGCGCGGGCGGGCUGGCGACGGGGACCCGGAGCGAGGUUGACACUGGAGGUUGGCUGGUGGCGGCCAAAAUGGGAGUGGUGAUGAUGUUAAAUACUGUGAGGAUUUUCUUUUUUUUUUUUUAAGAUUUUAUUUUAUUUAUUUGACAGAGAACACAAGCAGGGGGAGUGGGAGAGGGAGAAGCAGGCUUCCCCGCUGAGCAGGGAGCCCGAUGCGGGGCUCGAUCCCAGGACCCUGGGAUCAUGACCUGAGCCGAAGGCAGUCGCUUAACGACUGAGCCACCCAGGCGCCCCUACUGUGAGGAUUUUCUGAGUUAAUAUGCACUAAGGUGGCCCACAGGAAGCACUCACUAAAUGUAAGCGACUGAUAUUCUGCCGGGAAAAUGGAUGGUAGGAUGGAAGGAGUGUUACUGGGGGCAAGUAAUUGUGAUGAUAGCAAGUAAUAUGUGACAGGCAUUGUCGUAAGUCACAAUUCUGUGAGGUAGUUCUUAUUAUUAAGGCUGCUUCUCAGAUAAGGAAACUGAGGUUACGCGACUUAGCCAUGUGACCUUGGGCAAGUUACUGAACAUCUCUGUGCUUCGGUUUCCUCAUCUGGCAAAUUGUGAUAAUAGUCCCCAGGGCUGGAGUGGACUCAAGGAGGGGAGUUUUUCUUGGACAGCAGUUCUCCCUCCAACCCCCUUCCCUGGGUAACCUCUGCCCCCAAACUGUAAUAGAAAGCAUGUGCCUGGGAAGUAGGGGGAGUUGCACCCGUGUGCCCCUCCAACUCCCUCACUCGCCUUGUCUCGAUGUCUAAAUAUCAGCCCCACAGGAGGCCGGUUUGCCCUCCUAAUCUCCCUUGCUCAUUCUUCACCAUUUCCUACCGGGCUGUAGGCUGGGGCUGAAGAGAUAAGCGGUCUGGGGUUCAGCAUCGCUGACUAACAAACAGAUUGACAGCCCCACUGCCCAGUAGCCUGGCCCUAUGACCCUUUUGAAAACCCCAGUUCCACCCUUCUCUUUCCUUCCACUCUUUUCCUACCGGGACAUUUUUUUUUUCGGUCCCAGUGGAAGAGGAUCAAGUCUUAAGACCUUUAAACCUCCAUGUGCACCAAAGAAAAUGUGAUACAGACUGAGGAACAUUCUGGGGUUGUGAUGCCUGCAGAGUAAUAGAGAAGGGAGCCCUUUAAGACCCAUGGCCCAUUUUUCUGUAUAAUGAGAAGACAGAUUCCUGAAGAGCAGAGGUCAGUAAACUUGUCUAUAAAGGGCCAGAUAGUAAAUAUUUUAGGCUUUGCAGGCCACAUAAUGGUCUCUGUGGCAUAUUCUUUCUUUUCCUUUAAAAAUGAAGAGCCAGCAGGGCAGCUGGGUGGCUCAGUCAGUUAAGCGUCUGCCUUCCGCUUGGGUGGUGAUCCCAGGGUCCUGGGAUUGAGCCCUGCAUCGGGCUCCCUGCUCAGUGGAGAGCCUGCUUUUCCCUCUCCCUCUGCUGCUCCCCCUGCUUGUGCUCUCUCUUUCUCUUUGUCAAAUAAAUAAAUAAAAUCUUUUUUAAAAAUGAAGAAACCAGGGGCGCCUGGGUGGCUCAGUUGGUUAAGUGACUGCCUUCGGCUCAGGUCAUGAUCCUGGGGUCCUGGGAUCGAGUCCCACAUCGGGCUUCCCUUGCUCUGCGGGGAGCCUGCUUCUCUCUCUGCCUCUGCCUGCCACUCCCCCUGCUUGUGCUCUCUCUCUCUCUCUGUCAAAUAAAGAAAUAAAAAUCUUAAAAAAAAAAAAAAUGAAGAGACCAGCUGAAGUCUGGCUUUGGCCUGAAGGCUGUAGCUUUCUGAUCCUGCUGUAGAAUGUCAGUCUUUGGUUUCCUUUAUCUGGCUGGGAUUCUUUUACAGGAUGAGUGCAGAGUUUCUAUGCUUCCUGAAGAGAGGUAUUCCCUUUGUGUAAGGACUGGGAUUCAUGGACAGGGUCAGGUCACUUCUGGUGUUUACGGGGUCAACCAGUGUUCCUGGACAGAGUGAGGAUAGGGAUUCCUGUAGUUUCUAUAGUUUUGUUCCUUUCCUGAACCAAACAGGGAUUUCUAUACAGGACAAGACAGUUGUUUCUGGAGAGCUCCAGACUAGGAGUUCCCAUACAAGUUCACGAUGAGGCUCCUUAGACUGCGUUAAGAGUUUCCUAUGGAGGGGUGCCUGGGUGGCUCAGUCAUUGGGUGUCUGCCUUCGGCUCGGGUCAUGAUCCCAGCGUCCUGGGAUCGAGCCCCACAUCUGGGUCCCUGCUCGGUGGAUAGCCUGCUUCUUCCUCUCCCUCUGCCUACUUGUGCUCGCUCUCUAUCUCUCUGUCAAAUAAAUAAAUAAAUAUCUUUUUUUUUAAAAAAAGAGUUUCCUAUGGAGGGGCGCCUGGGUGGCUCAGUCGUUGGGUGUCUGCCUUCGGCUCAGGUCGUGAUCCCGGGGUCCUGGGAUCGAGCCCCGCGUCGGGCUCCCUGCUCGGCGGGAAGCCUGCUUCUCCCUCUCCCGCUCCCCCUGCUUGUGUUCCCUCUCUCGCUGUGUCUCUCUCUGUCAAAUAAAUAAAUAAAAUCUUUAAAAGAAAAAGAGAGAGUUUCCUAUGAAGAGAUCAGGUGGUCCAGUUCAGGGUCAGCACAGGUGUUUCUGUACAGGUUCAGAGCUAUGUUAAUGUAGACAGUAGGAACAGGUGUUCAUGUCUAGAUUCAAUCAAAUUGUUACUAAUCGGGCUAAAUUUUUUUAAAGAUCUUAGUUAUUUAUUUAUUUAUUUGAAAGAGAGAGAGCAGGGGAAAGAGCAGAGGGAAAGGGACCACCAGACUCCAUGUGGAGUAUGGAGCCUGAUGUGGGGCUUGAUCUCACAACCCUGAGAUCAUGACCUGAGCAGAAAUCAAGAGUCAGACGCUUAACGACUAAGCCACCCACGUGCCCCUGGGCUAAAUUUUUUUGAAGAUUUUAUUUCUUGGAGAGAGAGAGCACGAGCAGCGUGAGAGGCAGAGGGAGAAGCAGACUCCCCGCUGAGCAGGGAGCCCGACGUGGGGCUCGAUCCUGGCAUUCUGGGAUCAUGACCUGAGCCGAAGGCAGAUGCUUAACCGACUGAGCCGCCCAGGCACCCCAAUUGGGCUAAAUUAUGCUAACUGCUGUAACAAACCCAGAAUUUUAGAGGAUUAACAAAUAAGUGUUUAUUUCUUACUCAUAUGAAGUCCAAUGUGUAUAUUUAUUACUGAUCAUUCAGGAACCCAGGCAACUUGCAUUUUGUGGCUCUGCUCUCCUCUGAAUCCUUGGAGUUCUCACUAUUGAGCUGGUAGAUGGGAAAAGAGAGAGUGAAGGAUUCCUUGAGAGAUUUUUAUGGACCAGGCUUGGAAGUGGUGUAUAUCACUUUGCCCAUACUCCAUUGGUCAGAACUCUGUCACAUGUCCACAUCUCACUGUAAAGGAGGUCAGAAAAGUGAGUGAGCUUAGGAGAACACAGGUUUGAAGAGCCUGUAGCACUGCCUGCUACAGGAUUCUAUAGACCCCACAGAGCUGUUCUGUCCAAUGUGGCAGCCACUAUCCACAGGCAGAAUAAUGGUUCCUGUACAGUAUGAGGGUGGGGCUUCUGGGACAAGGCUGGGGCCAGGGCUGUCAGACAGUUACAUCAGGACAUCCUGUUUGGGGUCAAGAGAAUGUUUCCAGAAAGCAAGGUUAGGAGUUCCUAUAAAGGAUCAGGCCAGAGAUUCCUGUGAGUGGAGUUAGGAUUUCUUGUUGAGAGGAAAAGGUUUUCUAUGGAGAGUCCAGUCAGAGGGUUCCAGUACAGUUGUAGGCAAGGCUUCCUGUAGGGGGUCAGGGCUGUGGAGCUAACACAUGGUAAAGAGAGGAAGCCCUGUACAGUGUCUGCGUCGGGGGUCCUGUGCCAGGUGAGGCCGUAGGUACCUGUAUAAGAUGAGGUCUAGGCUUCAAGUAGAGGAUCAGGACAGGCAUCCCUGCCACAGGGUCAGGAAAGGUUUUUCUUUUUUACUUCUUUUUUUUUUUUUUAGGGAAGGGUUGUAAGUUCAAGACUGAGGUUGGUGUUAAGAGUUGGAUUACAGGGGCGGGGGGGCGGGGCGGGCGGCGUGCCUGGCUGGCACAGUUGGUUAAGCAUCAGAUUCUUGGUUUCGGCUUAGGUUGUGAUCUCAGGGUCCUAGGAUGGAGCCCUGCAUUGGGCUUCAUGCUCAGCAGGGAGUCUGCUUAAGAUUCUCUUCCUCUUCCCCUGCCCCUACACCCCACCCCCUGCACUUGCUCGUGCUCUCUCCUCUGUCUCUCUCUCUCUCAAAAUCUUUUUUAAAAAAAAGAGUUGGAUCAUGGGUUCUUGUGGACUCUACAGGUUAGGGUGUGAGAUCAGGGAUUGUUGUGCAGAGUGACAUCAGGGGUCAUUGUCAACAAUGGAGGCAAGAGCUUCUAUAUUCAAUUGGAGUUCCUGAAGAGGUUGAGGAUGGAGUUUCUGCAGAGAGAGUAGGUCAGUGGUUCAGAACUAGAUUUUAUUGUGACAGAAGUGUUUCUAAAAUGCUAUCUGGAGGGCUGAGCUCCAGUACAGUGUGAAGACAGAAGUGUCCUGUCCAAGGUCAAGGCAGGAUUUCUGUAGAGAGAUUGAGACUAGUGAAGAGGCUCAGGACAGGUUUCUCUUUUUUAAAGAUUUUAUUUAUUUAUUUGAGAGAGAGAGAGCACAAGAUGUCCUUGAGGACAUCUGCUUACCCCUACUAUGUUCAGGAUCUGAGGCAGAGGGGCAGAGGGAGAGGGAGAAGCAGACUCCCUGCUGAGCAGGGAGCCCAACAUGGGGUUCUAUCCCAGGACCCUGGAAUCAUGACCUGAGCCAAAGGCAGCAGCUUAACCGAUUGAGCCACCCAGAUGCCCUAGAAUAGGUGUUUCUAAAGAGGUGGCACAAGGGCUUCCUUACAGUGUGAGCUCACAGAUUCCUAACUGGGCUAAGUCCGAGGUUCCUGUGCCAGGGGAGGACAGGGCUUCUUCCGAUGCAAGGUUAGGGCUGAUACUCCUGUCCAGGGUCAGCAUGGGUGUCCUGUUACUAAUUAGAGAAAGGGUUCCCUUAGAGUGUCAGGCGAGGGCAGCUGUUCUGGGAGGCAAGGGCUGGGGCUCCUGAGCAAGGGCCAGGCACAUGUCCAGCACAGGUUCUGAGAGGGGUUUCUGCUCAAGAUGCGGACAGGGGCUCCUAUAGGGUGAGAGGACUGGGGUUCUAUGGGGUGGCCAGGCAGGCAGGAGGCUUUUACAAAGACCAGGGAAGUUCUGGACAACCCCUGUAAUGAGCGUGGACUGCCGUGAUUCUGCAGCGGGCCAGCAUGGUGUUUAUGAACCAAAGCAACUGAAGCUUCCCAGCCAUUGCCCGGCCCAGAGUAAACACUCAGCAAAUGGGGCUGUUUGCUAUCAGGAGCUGCUGGGUAGUAUGGACGCUAAGCCACGGAGCCUGGCUUUUCCCCCUGUCUCCCGCUGUGUGGCCUCCAGCGAGCCACUUAACCUCUCUGUCACCUGACUCCACACAGGCUCCUAUGUAAGGGUUUUCCAUUUUGGAAGAACAGAUACCCCUCUGGGGCGGAGAAGUGGGCCCAGACGCUUUGCGGUUUCGAGUCUGGAUACCAUCCUUCCGCAUAGUCAGUGGUCGGUUCACCUGCCCAAAGGGAGGCCGUGAGUGUUUCCCAACUCCAGAUCUUUGCCUCUGUGUCUUGACCAGGGAGGCCAUCUCCAUCCCACCUCUUUAAGCAUAGAGAAUUGCUUCAGGGACUAGGGGAGCGUGACCCUGAUAUGGUGCGGGGAUUGUCCUAAGGAAUCCCAAGGUUGUGAGGCCCUGAGCUUGGGUAAGCCUCUGAGGCUGAUGGAGCUGCCUCAGGUUUCAGGGCAGAGGGAUGGAAGUUAGUGGAUGGCUGGGAAGGAGGAGGAAGGAGAUGGAGGAGGGAG